RNAcentral lists this transfer RNA (71 nucleotides) under Candidatus Pacearchaeota archaeon CG1_02_30_18. Its description in RNAcentral is "tRNA-Trp". It matches the Rfam family "tRNA". Rfam says of the family: Transfer RNA (tRNA) molecules are approximately 80 nucleotides in length. Their secondary structure includes four short double-helical elements and three loops (D, anti-codon, and T loops). Further hydrogen bonds mediate the characteristic L-shaped molecular structure. tRNAs have two regions of fundamental functional importance: the anti-codon, which is responsible for specific mRNA codon recognition, and the 3' end, to which the tRNAs corresponding amino acid is attached (by aminoacyl-tRNA synthetases). tRNAs cope with the degeneracy of the genetic code in two manners: having more than one tRNA (with a specific anti-codon) for a particular amino acid; and 'wobble' base-pairing, i.e. permitting non-standard base-pairing at the 3rd anti-codon position. RNAcentral also lists the same sequence under 5 other names. Lineage: Archaea; Nanobdellati. The record is from RNAcentral.
GGGUCUGUAGUAUACUGGUAUUAUGUUGGCCUCCAGAGCCGAAGAAGGGAGUUCGAUUCUCCCCAGGCCCA